GGCCCACUGGUCCGCAGGUUAGAAGACCGAUACCCAGGGGCCUUAAUGGUUCUCUCGGGAGCUGUCCCUGACCGGGUUCCUGGACCCGGACAUAUGGCGCCCACCUGCAUCUGCAGGCCCAUGAGGAUCAAACCUUCGACGGCGUCUCCGGUACCC
RNAcentral lists this non-coding RNA (156 nucleotides) under Alphaproteobacteria bacterium. RNAcentral's name for it is "6S RNA". It matches the Rfam family "6S / SsrS RNA". Rfam says of the family: E. coli 6S RNA was the first non coding RNA to be sequenced, but its function was unknown until recently. It consists of 184 nucleotides that fold into an extended hairpin structure with a large single-stranded internal bulge. The record is from RNAcentral. Lineage: Bacteria; Pseudomonadati; Pseudomonadota; Alphaproteobacteria.